UGCGUGACGAAGCCCGUAGCAAAGUGGACAAUAAAGGCUGAGCGUUAAGUCAGUCAUCAGAAAGCGCCGGUUAAUCCGGCGUUUUUU
RNAcentral lists this small RNA (87 nucleotides) under Citrobacter gillenii. RNAcentral's name for it is "sroD RNA". It matches the Rfam family "sroD RNA". Rfam says of the family: This family consists of a number of bacterial sroD RNA genes of around 90 bases in length. sroD is found in several Enterobacterial species but its function is unknown. The record is from RNAcentral. Lineage: Bacteria; Pseudomonadati; Pseudomonadota; Gammaproteobacteria; Enterobacterales; Enterobacteriaceae.